RNAcentral lists this ribosomal RNA (490 nucleotides) under uncultured bacterium. RNAcentral describes it as "partial 16S ribosomal RNA". It matches the Rfam family "Bacterial small subunit ribosomal RNA", at positions 30 to 507 of the family's 1533-position model. The record is from RNAcentral.
AUUGAACGCUGGCGGCAGGCCUAACACAUGCAAGUCGAACGGUAACAGAAAGCAGCUUGCUGCUUUGCUGACGAGUGGCGGACGGGUGAGUAAUGUCUGGGAAACUGCCCGAUGGAGGGGGAUAACUACUGGAAACGGUAGCUAAUACCGCAUAACGUCGCAAGACCAAAGAGGGGGACCUUAGGGCCUCUUGCCAUCGGAUGUGCCCAGAUGGGAUUAGCUAGUAGGUGGGGUAACGGCUCACCUAGGCGACGAUCCCUAGCUGGUCUGAGAGGAUGACCAGCCACAAUGGAACUGAGACACGGUCCAGACUCCUACGGGAGGCAGCAGUGGGGAAUAUUGCACAAUGGGCGCAAGCCUGAUGCAGCCAUGCCGCGUGUAUGAAGAAGGCCUUCGGGUUGUAAAGUACUUUCAGCGGGGAGGAAGGGAGUAAAGUUAAUACCUUUGCUCAUUGACGUUACCCGCAGAAGAAGCACCGGCUAACUCCGUG